RNAcentral lists this long non-coding RNA (2585 nucleotides) under Cervus hanglu yarkandensis (Yarkand deer). RNAcentral's name for it is "lncRNA (ENSCHYG00000012339.1)". Lineage: Eukaryota; Metazoa; Chordata; Mammalia; Artiodactyla; Cervidae. The record is from RNAcentral.
AUGAGCAAUCAGCAGCAGGCGAAAUGCCCUCGGAGCACCUGUCCUCUCACAGCACAUUUCCAACUGGCACGUUCAGCAGAGACUGGAGCCAGCCCGCCCGGGACUGCCUCUCCCGGCGUGCCCUGUCCGCGGCUUCGCUUUCUCAACUCCCCAAGCUGGAGCCCCGCUAACAAAAGGUGCUUCCCACGACGUGAAGAUAAUAAAAACGAACCUCUCCUUCCCGCGGCGCCACCCUCCAACUUUAUAAACUACAGUCAACUUACUGGAAUGCAGGCGACAGGGAGCCUUCAAGGGGGACAGCUCUCCGGCUGCGCAGAGCCCCGCUGGCCCCGCACUGACCCGGCUGCGGCGGCGGCGGGUGCGGGGCGAGGCGCUGCCGUUCUGCACCAGCCGCCUGGCUCCGCGGUGCCCGGAGCCCGGCAAUCGCCGGGGCGCACCUCCUGGCGGCUGCGGCGACGACGAAAGCUACACGGGUCCGCGUGGUCCCGAGCGCUGCAGCAGCCGCCCGCCCCGGAGUGCGGCGCUCCGAGCCCCUGGUGGAAGCUGCUGAGAAGUGAGCCCUCUUCGGUCCUCCUCUCUGGGUUGUAUGAUGAGACAGAUCUGCUCUGGGAGUCUACCCCUCCCCCCACCCCCACACCUGCAACAGGGCAGAGAUGCUUCUAAUUCUGGAGAUGGCAAACCUGCUAUGUCAGAAUGCCUUCCGUCACACUGCUGUUAAGUCACCUCCUCUGUUAACAUCCUUAUUGGUGCAUGCUAAGUUGCUUCAGUCUUGUCCGACUGUUUGUGACCCCAUGGACUGUAGCCCACCAGUCCAUAUCUGACUGUGAUGUCCUUCCUCUGUCCAUAGGAUUCUCCAGGCAGGAAUACUGGAGUGCUGUGCCCUCCUCCAGGGAAUCUUUCUUGUGGCCUCUAUCUCCCUAACUUCUCUAUCUAUGUCUUAGUUUAUUUGCACUUCAAGUGAGGAAAAAAAAGACAUUCAUUAUUGAGUACCUCUGAUUUCUGACUUUCAAGAAGAUGUUAACUCUUCCCCAAGGGCCCUCUGAUUUUCCUGCUGAAAUUGAUGAGUUUAUACUGAUUCAUUCACAUCAUUCUCUCAUCAUCCUCUAAUGGUCCAUUAUUUUUCAGGGUGCUGCUGCUGCUAAGUUGCUUCAGUCGUGUCUGACUCUGUGUGACCCCAUAGACGGCAGCCCACCAGGCUCCCGUCCCUGGGAUUCUCCAGGCAUGAACACUGGAGUGGGUUGCCAUUUCCUUCUCCAGUGCAUGAAAGUGAAAAAUGAAAGUGAAGUCGCUCAAUCGUGUCCAACUCUUCGAGACCCCAUGGACUGUAGCCUACCAGGCUCCUCUGUCCAUGGGAUUUCCCAGGCAAGAGUACUGGAGUGGGUUGCCUUCUCCAUUUUUCAGGGUGAUUGUGGACUAAAGGAGCUGACUCUCACAUAGACUUUGAAUAUGUUAAAGCUCAGUCAAUGAGUGGGAAGAAUUUAAUUUAAUCAUCAUUUCAUCCUCUGCAUGUGAAAUGUGCUAUAAAGAGAUGUCAUUGAGUAUGCUCAUAACUACAAAUGUAUUAUUUUAACUUAUUACUUUAAUGCUAAAGGAACUUGUUACAUUACAUUGUCAUCAGACAUCUGAUAAGAAUAAAAUGAGUAUUAAAGUAGAACAAGUCUAUGCAACAUGAGAUACAUGCCAGUUAACCAAUUUAUAAUAAAGAAAAGAUGAAGUGGAUGGAGACCAAGUUCAAAGACAUACUGCCCAUUGAUGGCCAAGUUGGAUGUAGAUGGGGGUUUUGAAUGUACUGGGUAAGCCCACAAUGUCCUACCUAAACAUCAUACAGCACCGCUCACAUCUUGACCACUUUUAAAUUCAGGACUCCCACAAUAAUAUCAUCUGUUCAGUUCAAUUGGGCAAAUAUUUACUUGACUCAAGCUUCUAUAUGUUCUAUAUGCUCUAUGUUCUGUUUGGGCAAAAGAGCAAUGAACUGAAUAAAUAUGGGUCAUAGCAUCAUGGAAAACAAUGGAAAGAACCCAACUACACUUGUUAGUAAAAUUUGUAAUUGUUAGCAAAGAAAUAUUUUCUAAAAUUAAAAGUGCCAUUAUUUAAAUAUAUGUGCUAUGAUUUUUAUUGCUUUGUUUCUUACAAUAGGAAAAAAAUAAGAAAAAAAUCAUGAGCUUUCAUCAACAGGAAAUGGUUUCAUAAAUUAUUAUACUUUUACUCUAUGGAAUAUUGUGCAGUUAUUUGAUGGAAUGAGAUAGAUGUAUUUGAAGAGAUUGGAAAAAUGUAAUGAUAUUAAGAAAAAUUAGUUAUAUGUACAAUUCCAUUUUUCUAAAAAUAAAACAGUGGGACCAGUGGUAUUCAUAUGUCUAUUGUACAUGUUAUUAAUAGUUUAGCAAAGAAAUAAGUAAAGAAGAAGUGUGUGCUCAGUUGUGUCCAACUCUUUGCGACCCCAUGGACUGUAGUCUGCCAGGCUUCUCUGUCCAUGGAAUUCUCCAGGCAAGAAUACUGGAGUGGUUGCCAUUUCCUUCUCCAGAGCAUCUUCCCAACCCAGUGAUCAAACCCAUGUCUCUUGCACUGGCAGGCAGAUUCUUCACCAG